RNAcentral lists this long non-coding RNA (2061 nucleotides) under Marmota monax (woodchuck). The record is from RNAcentral. Lineage: Eukaryota; Metazoa; Chordata; Mammalia; Rodentia; Sciuridae.
CUGCCCUAGACGUGCCGACCGGACCCGCGCUGGCCUUGACCACCGAGAGAUGCGGGCGCGGGGGCGUGGGGAUAGUGCUCCCGGCCGCCCUUCGGGCUUCUCCUGGUCUUCCACGUGCCGCCCAAGGCUGCCCACGAUCCCAGACACCGCCGUCCCGGAGCCCUCGGAGCCCUGGCCCGGUGGAGGUGCGUGGCCUAGGACAGCCCCGCGGUCCGCCAAGCGCGGGUGGAGGUGGACGCCCUUCGCACGUGCAGCUGCGGACCUGCAGUUCCCGUCCCUAGUGGGGCUGCGCUCCCAGGCCCGACCCGGUUGGACACGGGAACCAGUAGCGGACAGAGUGGCCACAGCCCCUGGGGCCUUGUCCCAGCCUGGUGCCAGCGACUUUCCUACUCCCACUCCCGCCAGGGCAGUGUGCCCCCGCUAGCCCUGCUCACCGUGGACGGGUGUCGGGCCUGCGCAGAGACAGGCGCCUUCCCCAGGACCCAACUCAAAGACUGAGUUUCGUGGAAGUCAGGCCCCCACCACGGCAGCCGCGCAGCCGGCUGGGCUCGCCUUCCCGCCUUCCCGCCUUCCCGUGGGCAGUUCCGAGCCUCCAGAGCUGUCCCUCGCCUCCAGAGCUGUCCCUCACCUGGAGGCGAAGCUGUCCUCCCGCUUGUGCUCUCUGGCUUGAAGCUUUGCCUGCACCUUCUGCUUACUUUAAGUUCGUUUUAAUUGACACCGGUCCCAAUUUCCCCAGCCUGUGGCCUCAGUGAUGGACUCAAAGCAACUCAACCUGGUGGGGCGGGAGGGUGUCUGUCCGCGUGCGCAGGAGGACAAGGUCAGCGCCCCCUCCACGCAUUACGGCCUCCCGCGCUCCUCUGCCGUGGGCGCCGCCCGUGUCCUCCCCCAAGCCUGCUCUGCCCUACCUCCCCGCCAGCGCAGCGCCCAGGUGGAACCCAGGGGGCGUUUCCACUGAGCCGCCCGCGUACAAUCCCCAGGCCCCGUGCGGGGCGUGCCUCUCAUUUGGGAUGUAAUUUUUAGUCCAAUGAAUUUCGCUAUCAAGUCAACCUAAUGAAAAUAUGAAUUUUGUACAACUUCCUAGGUUGGGAUCUUCUUUCUGAGGGGAUUUUGUUUUAUGUCCACGGACUUUAACCACAUCAUGAGAUGUCAAUCCUUCCUUGGCCCACUCUGCCAACAUGGCACAACCCCACCCUGGGCCAGUACCAGUGUUCAAAAUAAGACUAAGCCAAUGACAGUCUCCUGUCGCUGCGAAUGAGGUGGCUUCCUGUGAAUCCUGGGGGUAAAGAGAUCCCCAGUACAAGGUGAGCUUUGUUAGGAAAGACAAAGGGGUGAGUGGAGACCAGGCGGACAACCAGAAGAAUGUACUAAGGGAGUGCCAGGGGAAAGUCAGACUGGGAUUACAGUGCCACGGGCAGUUCUGCAGGUGGGCAGCAGAACACAGACUUUGUCUUCUAUUAGAAAAAGCAUUUGGGGGCUGGGGUUGUAGCUCAGUGGUUGAGCACUUGCCUUGCAUGGGUGAGGAACUGGGUUCGAGCCUCAGCACCACAUAAAAUAAAUAAAACAAAGAUAAACAUAUAUGAAAAAAACAAAGAUAUACGUGGCACCUACUAUAGUUGGAGAAUGCAAAAAGGCUUCAGCCCAUCAGUCUCACUUUGGUCACACGUUUAUGAACUUUCCUGAAAGGCAAUACAGUGACAAAUUGUACUUCAUCAAAAGAAUGUGUUUAAACUGGAAUAUACAGCAUGUUAGAAUUUCCCUGGGCUUGCCCACACGCUGGGGCACACCUCUAAUCCCACUGACUCUGGAAGCUGAGGCAGGAGGAUCACAGGUACAAGGUCCUGCCUCAAAUUAAAAAGGACUGGGGGGUGUGGCUCAGCAGUCAAGCACCCUUGGGUUCAAUCCUCAGUGCAAGUGUGUGUGUGUGUGUGUGUGUGUGUGUGUGAAAUCACAUGGCCUAAAAGCAGGAUGGAAAUAAAAGGAGAUUCUGGGGGGCUGGGGCUGGAGCUCAAUGGUAAAGCUCUUGCCUUGCAUGUGUGAGGCACUGGGUUCGAGCCUCAGCAC